GCAGGCGUGCGGGGGGCGGCGGCGCCCAAGCGGACACGGAGCCGGUCAGCAGCAGCCGCGGCGGCGCUGCAGGGACGAGCGCCCAGGUCGCUCCAACCUUCCUCGCUGGACUCCGGGGCCCAGGACUGGGCAGUUUCGUCUGGCCUAGGAGUCUCAAGGGUCGGUCUGGGGUUCUAGCAGCCACAGCUGCGAGCUCUCCCGGCCCCGC
RNAcentral lists this long non-coding RNA (208 nucleotides) under Cervus hanglu yarkandensis (Yarkand deer). RNAcentral describes it as "lncRNA (ENSCHYG00000004353.1)". The record is from RNAcentral. Lineage: Eukaryota; Metazoa; Chordata; Mammalia; Artiodactyla; Cervidae.